RNAcentral lists this long non-coding RNA (330 nucleotides) under Capsella rubella. Its description in RNAcentral is "long non-coding RNA (CRUB_LNC004122)". Lineage: Eukaryota; Viridiplantae; Streptophyta; Magnoliopsida; Brassicales; Brassicaceae. The record is from RNAcentral.
UCAUAUAUGAUGUAUAAGAGUAAUACUUAUAAUCGAAUUUCCGCAGAUCACAACCUCACCUGAAUCUGGAAUGGACUGAGAACUCGAAGAGAACUGCUUAAAAUGGCUUGAAACAAUCUGAAACUUGCAGCAGAAGAAAACAAUACAAAGACAGAUUAGGUUUCUGGGUUUUGACUGAAACAGAGGAUUCUUGCCCAACAAGCAAUCCACGUGGUAACUAAGGUCUACCUUUUCUAGUGACUUUGAAGGCUCCAGCGCCUUCCCUGACACUUCGUUUAUCAAUAACCACCGUAUACUUGACCUCAACUGAUAAGAGAUAACCGGAAUAUC